UGGACUCUAGCUGUAAACAAGCCAGGCUAGAUCACAGAUGGGAAUAAUUUUCCUUUUGAAACUGGAAAGUCUGGAAUAUUGAGUGACUUGGCUGCUCUCAUUCGCCUAGCCUGGAGGAAGACUGCUGACGAAAAAUUACAAACAAGCACACAAAAUUACAUUCGUAAACAAAACAUUUUGUGUGAAUGGAUUCUUCACCUAGACCACCGAGAAGAUUUUCCCGGUGGCAAACAACAAAGCGAACAUUCAAGUUUGGUGAAAUUGCAAUCAACAACAAUUGUUCUGAUGCAACAAAAAUUUCACAGCCUACUAAGGGCGACAAUGGGAUUGUCAAGAAUAGAAACUGUGGUUCCAGCCCAGUUAACCUAAAACCUGAUGCCAUAAGUCCUCCAAAGGAACAGCAGGCAGCUCAAAACGCUGCAUGCACUAAUGGUAAUCUCAGUGAUACAAGUGUCCGUAGUGCAGACAGCCAGUCCAUCAAGAACAAAAGUCUGGAGCAGCGCACUUGCUAUGUUGCUCUUGGGAGCAAGUGCUCGUUGGUCAAACCAACCGAGACUCAGAAAGAAAAAACAAAUACAGUGACUGAAAAAUCUAACGUGCCUCCUAGUGAUAUUGAGAAAUCAACACCUCAAAGUAGUGUUUCAAAAGACCAGCCUUCCAUAAAUUCUGUUCACAGUGCUUCAAACAGUUCACAUGAAAAUAACACAUCGGCAAAGGAGCCCAAGAAAGUGAAACGACGGUUGAUAGUUACUGAGGAUUAUUCACAGAACUCCGCCACUGACAAAGAGAAUAAGGCUGAUAGCCAGCCUUUUUCCCCGUUUAAAAAAUCACGACUUGCUGACACUUCAAAAGUUAAAAAUGUGUCAAACAUUUCAGACGAGGCAGCAACUCCAGACAUUUCUGUGACUGGGAACUCCAGGCAGAGUUUCCUCAGGGACAGGAGUUUGUUGACUCCGGCUGAGAAACUGAUGAAAAAUCGCCAGUACCCCUACUCUGUUUCUCGCAGUAAAGGUAAAACCAUUCAAGAAAAGAAAACAACGAAGCAAAAGACAAUUAAGGACAAUUUAGUUAAACUACCAUCUACAUCCAAACAGGAGAUGAAGUCAAAGAAUAAUCAUCAGGUGGAUAAAUCAGACAAAAAAGUUGUAGGUAAGGAUGACACUUUACAAAUACAGGAUGUUUUAGCUGCUGAUUCAAAAAAUAACCAUGAUGCAUCAACCAAUCAUAGUGAAAAAAAUCGCUCGUACAAAAAUUCUCCCCCUCACCUGCCAAACGGAACUGAAAAGCAAGACACCGUGGGGAGGCGAGGUCUGCGCGACCGAAGCCUUCUGCCCACACCUGAAAGUGUCCAGCAGCAUAGGCAGUACCCAAUGGAGUUUUACUUUUCAGCCAAACAGCUCUCUGACCACAGCAGUUCAACUAUCUCAAACGCCAGUCUGAAAAAAACACCACCUCACACAGAGCCACCUUCCAAGGUCAAGGUGAAAACUAAAAAUAAAAAACCAGAGGAGAAUGAUAAACAGGCAACUGUAGGCAAAAAAGUGCCUACACCGAGCCAUUCAGUGUCAGUAAAUAAGCAUAGUGAGACAGACGGUGAGGAAAAUUUGGAAUUUAUGAACUAUGACCAUAAAAAAUUUUCUUCUAGAAAAACAAAAAGAGGCUCUAUGGAGAGUGAUUUCAACUCUGACAAGGAUGAUAAAGUUAAUAAAAAAAUAAAUAAAAAGAGCCCAGAGUUGUCACUUGAUACAAAUUCAUUCAACGGUGGUCCUAGCAAACAGAAAAUGGGAGCUAAACAUAAAUCUUCAGUCACAGCGCUGAUCCCCAGCCAUGUAAGGCAGUGUUCUCUUAGUACAUCUAACUCUAAACAUACUAGUCAAACUGAGACAUUCGGUAAAAAGAAGAGUUUCAGCCAUGACAAAGUGGCCACAAACAAAAGGAAAGUUGCCUCAUCAAGCAGUGAUGUAACUAGUGAUUCUAACUGUGAUUCUAUGGAUGAUGAAAUACAGCCAACAUUGCAUGAUAAACCACCUACGCAAUUAAGUCUAAAUCACCCUCGUACCUCAUCAAAUUUACCGGUCUGUAAAACUAAAGCUGCCCAUAGACAAAAGUCAUCGGUGGUUAUUGACAAACUUCAUAUACUCAGUGUUGCACCAUCUCAUGGAAAGAAAAAACUCAAGGCUGUGAAGGAACAAUCAAAAGGAAAAAAGACAAAAUCUGUGACACCUGUUCCUCUGCUGGCAGUGAGUAGGAGUGAGACUUGUCACAAUGACACUAUUGUUGGGACUAAGAAAAUCAUCAGGAAAAGGAAUCUGUACAGUGAGAUGGAGCAGUUGGAAGAGUCCUACAGUUCUUCCAGUGAUGAUGAGAGAGGCAAAGAUAAGAUGGUGCGUCUGUGGUGUCCUGGAGAUCACCAUAGGAGGGGGACAGACAUAACAGCUUAUGAUGUUGUUUUACAAGCUGUUAUGGACACUGAAGAUUUAUUAUGCAAACAGGAAACCUUAGCCAGACAAAGAGUGAUUCAAAAGGUCAUGAGGGGUUUCAAAAGCAGUAUCAGAACUAAGAUCUCUAAACUUGUACAAAUGAAAGAGUUACAGAAAACUAUACAACAGAAAAAGAAAGCAUGUAACAAACUCAUGUCCAGCCUAGCAGAGCAAAACAAGAAGAAAGCUGAGUUGCAGAAAAUCAUUCGCUCCAUGACAGAUAAUGGGAAAGAUGUCAACAUGUUAAAGAUAGACUUCUGGAUGAAAGGCUAUUCUCAAGCAAUAGCUGGAGUGGAUAUGAGUUCUUGAGGAUACAUAAACUUGUAAAAUUUCAAUGGACAGUACAACAUACAUCUUGUGUUCUAAAGUGGACAUUACCACAAAAAUCUUGUGGCAAGACAAUUGUGAUGAACAUCUGACGACCUUUUUAAUUACCCUGGAUUUAAUGACAACACCUAUUUUUCCUUUAAUUAUAGCUGCGUCAGAGCUUACUGGCUUUUGUGUCACCAACAGUAGCUCUGAAUGUUAUGAUGUGACUCUCCUUUAAGGUCAGUUAUAAUGAAGCUACUUUUAUGUAAUUCACUAUAAAAUAGUCAUCACUAUCCAAAUAUCACGUGUAUAAUAUAUAAAUAUUAUAAAUGUAUUUAUUUAAUUCCCCAUUAGUGCCAUUAGCUAUUUUGUUUUUUUUUUGUUGUCAUAGGACUAGGUAAAGAAGAAUUUUUAAAAGCUGUAUGCAUAAAUACAAUUUUUAAAAAAAGAAUUUUAGCUGAAUAAAGGUGGCAUUAUUUUUGUAUUGUAAUUCCUAAUAAGUUUUUUUUAUAUUAAAGUGACAGCUUGUUUCUAGAUUGGAAACUCAGUCCUUGAUAACCAGAUUAAACAUCUUUGACAUGGGCUUUGUUCAACAAGGGGGGAUAACAAUGUUAUAUGUUUAAAUGUUUUGUAACUCAAGUGAGUCAUUUACCCUUAGUUCUUUAGAUUUGGUACAGUUAGUACGCUAGUAAUUACUUCUUUUCUAAAAUAUUUGACCCACUACUGAAUGUUCAAAUGAUAAGUAGAUUAUGCAAUGAGCACUGUGUAUUUUUGUCCUGUCUGUCAAUUGUAAAUAUUCUCACCUGUUAGUUCCUCACCAUAUGACCUCCCCACUGAUCUGACCUUAUGCACAACGAUCAGGCUGUAUUCCACAGAACAGGCUGUAUUCCACAACGAAUAAAAUUGCACAUCAAGCCUUUAAAAUUCCUUUUUUUUGUUCUUUCAUAAAACUUAACAAAGCAUAUUGUCUUUAAACUGAAGGUAUAUGAAUGUUAUCUAAAUAAAAGGAACUUCCUAAAACAAUGCCGGACAUAUGCAGUAGUUUUUUUCUUACCCUACCUGACAAAACCAUUAUCCAUGACCCAGGCUAUUAAUUUAGAAUAGAUUUU
Molecule: RNA transcript, 3898 nt
Organism: Physella acuta
Lineage: Eukaryota; Metazoa; Mollusca; Gastropoda; Physidae
Source: RefSeq, a predicted model, not a curated record